Molecule: ribosomal RNA, 601 nt
Filed under: Shigella flexneri
Lineage: Bacteria; Pseudomonadati; Pseudomonadota; Gammaproteobacteria; Enterobacterales; Enterobacteriaceae
Also listed under: 1 other name
Description: partial 23S ribosomal RNA
Rfam family: Bacterial large subunit ribosomal RNA
Source: RNAcentral
CUAAUCCUGGUCGGACAUCAGGAGGUUAGUGCAAUGGCAUAAGCCAGCUUGACUGCGAGCGUGACGGCGCGAGCAGGUGCGAAAGCAGGUCAUAGUGAUCCGGUGGUUCUGAAUGGAAGGGCCAUCGCUCAACGGAUAAAAGGUACUCCGGGGAUAACAGGCUGAUACCGCCCAAGAGUUCAUAUCGACGGCGGUGUUUGGCACCUCGAUGUCGGCUCAUCACAUCCUGGGGCUGAAGUAGGUCCCAAGGGUAUGGCUGUUCGCCAUUUAAAGUGGUACGCGAGCUGGGUUUAGAACGUCGUGAGACAGUUCGGUCCCUAUCUGCCGUGGGCGCUGGAGAACUGAGGGGGGCUGCUCCUAGUACGAGAGGACCGGAGUGGACGCAUCACUGGUGUUCGGGUUGUCAUGCCAAUGGCACUGCCCGGUAGCUAAAUGCGGAAGAGAUAAGUGCUGAAAGCAUCUAAGCACGAAACUUGCCCCGAGAUGAGUUCUCCCUGACCCUUUAAGGGUCCUGAAGGAACGUUGAAGACGACGACGUUGAUAGGCCGGGUGUGUAAGCGCAGCGAUGCGUUGAGCUAACCGGUACUAAUGAACCGUGAGG